CUUCUGGCAGCUUCUUGCAGAAGCCACCCCUGUAGCUCCCCCUCUGCUACCAAAACCUGGCCAUGCAAGCCCAAUACACUUGUCUUUUCAUGUGAGGAGUUGUUUUGGAGUGCUUGAUGAGCUGUCCCUUAGACCAGCAGCAGCGAUCUUCACAGGCCUUACAUGAGAUCCCCCAUCAGCCCAUAAUUCCAUGCAUCAUCUUUAUGAUUCACAUGCUCUGUCAAUGUGACCACCUCCUGGAGACACCGUAGUCUUUCAGCAACGGUAGAAAAUUGCUCCAUUGUACUGCUGAAGAGUGAAUUGGUUUCAAAUUACUCUGAAAGGCAGCCAACAGAACAGCUAACACCAUGGGACCAAGUUUUCAUCUGGCCUUCAGUCUGGUUUUCAAGUCUGUGUUCCCAGGUUUGCACUCUCAAUCAAUUGUAGAAAAAAGUAAUUUCAGGCCCAAUUAGCUGUGAACCUCCAUCUACCAGGUUUAGAGAAAACCAAAUAAAUUUA
This is a long non-coding RNA of Pseudopipra pipra, 498 nucleotides long. RefSeq lists it as uncharacterized. The record is from RefSeq and is a predicted model, not a curated record. The transcript has 4 exons. NCBI's taxonomy places the organism in Eukaryota, Metazoa, Chordata, Aves, Passeriformes, Pipridae.